GCGGGUGUAGCUCAGCGGUAGAGCGUCAGCUUCCCAAGCUGAGGGUCACGGGUUCAAUUCCCGUCACCCGCU
This 72-nucleotide transfer RNA is filed under the name Candidatus Poribacteria bacterium. RNAcentral describes it as "tRNA-Gly". It matches the Rfam family "tRNA". Rfam says of the family: Transfer RNA (tRNA) molecules are approximately 80 nucleotides in length. The record is from RNAcentral. Lineage: Bacteria; Candidatus Poribacteria.